RNAcentral lists this ribosomal RNA (264 nucleotides) under uncultured bacterium. Its description in RNAcentral is "partial 16S ribosomal RNA". It matches the Rfam family "Bacterial small subunit ribosomal RNA", at positions 793 to 1055 of the family's 1533-position model. The record is from RNAcentral.
GUCCACGCCGUAAACGAUGGGUACUAGGUGUCUGGGGAGCGACCCCCUGGGUGCCGGCGCUAACGCAUGAAGUACCCCGCCUGGGGAGUACGGCCGCAAGGCUGAAACUCAAAGGAAUUGACGGGGCCCGCACAAGCGGUGGAGCAUGUGGUUUAAUUCGACGCAACGCGAAGAACCUUACCUGGGCUUGACAUGCUGGAGAAAGCUCGCAGAAACGUGGGCCCCCUCUUCGGAGUUCCAGCACAGAUGCUGCAUGGCUGUCGU